UACGGGGGGAGCAAGCGUUGUUCGGAUUUACUGGGCGUAAAGGGCGCGUAGGCGGUCGUGACAAGUCACUUGUGAAAUCUCCACGCUUAACGUGGAGGGGCCAUUCGAAACUGCCGUGACUCGAGUCCGGUAGGGGAGUGCGGAAUUCCCGGUGUAGCGGUGAAAUGCGCAGAUAUCGGGAGGAACACCAGUGGCGAAGGCGGCACUCUGGGCCGGAACUGACGCUGAGGAGCGAAAGCGUGGGGAGCGAACAGG
Molecule: ribosomal RNA, 255 nt
Filed under: uncultured bacterium
Lineage: Bacteria
Description: partial 16S ribosomal RNA
Rfam family: Bacterial small subunit ribosomal RNA
Source: RNAcentral